UACGGAGGGUGCAAGCGUUAUCCGGAUUCACUGGGUUUAAAGGGCGCGUAGGCGGCCUGCUAAGUCGGACGUGAAAUCCCUCGGCUCAACCGAGGAACUGCGUCCGAUACUGGUGGGCUUGAAUCCGGGAGAGGGAUGUGGAAUUCCAGGUGUAGCGGUGAAAUGCGUAGAUAUCUGGAGGAACACCGGUGGCGAAGGUGGCAUCCUGGACCGGUAUUGACGCUGAGGCGCGAAAGCUAGGGGAGCAAACGGG
RNAcentral lists this ribosomal RNA (253 nucleotides) under uncultured bacterium. Its description in RNAcentral is "partial 16S ribosomal RNA". It matches the Rfam family "Bacterial small subunit ribosomal RNA", at positions 524 to 776 of the family's 1533-position model. The record is from RNAcentral.